This 253-nucleotide ribosomal RNA is filed under the name uncultured bacterium. RNAcentral describes it as "partial 16S ribosomal RNA". It matches the Rfam family "Bacterial small subunit ribosomal RNA", at positions 524 to 776 of the family's 1533-position model. The record is from RNAcentral.
GACGAACCGUGCGAACGUUGUUCGGAAUCACUGGGCUUAAAGGGCGCGUAGGCGGCAGAUCAAGUCCGGGGUGAAAUCCUCCAGCUCAACUGGAGAAGUGCCUUGGAUACUGAUGUGCUCGAGGGAGGUAGGGGUCCGCGGAACUUCUGGUGGAGCGGUGAAAUGCGUUGAUAUCAGAAGGAACGCCGGUGGCGAGAGCGGCGGACUGGAUCUCUUCUGACGCUGAGGCGCGAAAGCUAGGGGAGCAAACGGG